GAUGAACGCUGGCGGCGUGCUUAACACAUGCAAGUCGAACGGCAUCCCAGGAGCUUGCUCCUGGGUGAGAGUGGCGAACGGGUGAGUAAUGCGUGACCGACCUGCCCCAUACACCGGAAUAGCUCCUGGAAACGGGUGGUAAUGCCGGAUGCUCCGACAUGACGCAUGUCGUGUCGGGAAAGAUUCAUCGGUAUGGGAUGGGGUCGCGUCCUAUCAGCUUGAUGGCGGGGUAACGGCCCCACCCAUGGCUU
RNAcentral lists this ribosomal RNA (251 nucleotides) under uncultured Actinomycetes bacterium. RNAcentral describes it as "uncultured actinobacterium partial 16S ribosomal RNA". It matches the Rfam family "Bacterial small subunit ribosomal RNA", at positions 28 to 276 of the family's 1533-position model. The record is from RNAcentral. Lineage: Bacteria; Bacillati; Actinomycetota; Actinomycetes.